This 430-nucleotide ribosomal RNA is filed under the name Pseudomonadota bacterium. RNAcentral describes it as "Proteobacteria bacterium partial 16S ribosomal RNA". It matches the Rfam family "Bacterial small subunit ribosomal RNA", at positions 355 to 776 of the family's 1533-position model. Lineage: Bacteria; Pseudomonadati; Pseudomonadota. The record is from RNAcentral.
UGGGGAAUAUUGGACAAUGGGGGGAACCCUGAUCCAGCCAUGCCGCGUGUGUGAAGAAGGCCUUAUGGUUGUAAAGCACUUUAAGCGAGGAGGAGGGUACUGGUAUUAAUACUACCAGCUACUGGACGUUACUCGCAGAAUAAGCACUGGCUAACUCUGUGCCAGCAGCCGCGGUAAUACAGAGGGUGCGAGCGUUAAUCGGAUUUACUGGGCGUAAAGCGUGCGUAGGCGGCUAAUUGAGUCGGAUGUGAAAUCCCCGAGCUUAACUUGGGAAUUGCAUUCGAUACUGGUUAGCUAGAGUGUGGGAGAGGAUGGUAGAAUUCCAGGUGUAGCGGUGAAAUGCGUAGAGAUCUGGAGGAAUACCGAUGGCGAAGGCAGCCAUCUGGCCUAACACUGACGCUGAGGUACGAAAGCAUGGGGAGCAAACAGG